RNAcentral lists this transfer RNA (85 nucleotides) under Felis catus (domestic cat). It matches the Rfam family "tRNA". Rfam says of the family: Transfer RNA (tRNA) molecules are approximately 80 nucleotides in length. Their secondary structure includes four short double-helical elements and three loops (D, anti-codon, and T loops). The record is from Rfam by way of RNAcentral. Lineage: Eukaryota; Metazoa; Chordata; Mammalia; Carnivora; Felidae.
GCCUGGGUGGCUCAGUCGGUUAAGCGUCUGACUUUGGCUCAGGUCAUGAUCUCGCGGUCCGUGGGUUCAAGCCCCUCAUCGGGCU